GACGAACGCUGGCGGCGUGCUUAACACAUGCAAGUCGAACGGAAAGGCCCUGCUUUUGUGGGGUGCUCGAGUGGCGAACGGGUGAGUAACACGUGAGUAACCUGCCCUUGACUUUGGGAUAACUUCAGGAAACUGGGGCUAAUACCGGAUAGGAGCUCCUGCUGCAUGGUGGGGGUCGGAAAGUUUCGGCGGUUGGGGAUGGACUGGCGGCUUAUCAGCUUGUUGGUGGGGUAGUGGCUUACCAAGGCUUUGACGGGUAGCCGGCCUGAGAGGGUGACCGGCCACAUUGGGACUGAGAUACGGCCCAGACGCCUACGGGAGGCAGCAGUGGGGAGUAUUACACAGUGGGCGGAAGCCUGAUGCAGCAACGCCGCGUGCGGGAUGACGGCCUUCGGGUUGUAAACCGCUUUCGCCUGUGACGAAGCGGGAGUGACGGUAAUGGGUAAAGAAGCACCGGCUAACUACGUG
This 468-nucleotide ribosomal RNA is filed under the name uncultured bacterium. RNAcentral's name for it is "partial 16S ribosomal RNA". It matches the Rfam family "Bacterial small subunit ribosomal RNA", at positions 28 to 507 of the family's 1533-position model. The record is from RNAcentral.